RNAcentral lists this long non-coding RNA (459 nucleotides) under Fragaria vesca (wild strawberry). RNAcentral's name for it is "long non-coding RNA (FVES_LNC001250)". Lineage: Eukaryota; Viridiplantae; Streptophyta; Magnoliopsida; Rosales; Rosaceae. The record is from RNAcentral.
AGGACUUUAAAUUUCAAUGUGAACAACGACUUCAAAUUUUAAUGUAAAUAAUGUCUUUUAUUUCAAUGUGAAGUUCAAUGUGAACAUGCUAUUUGGGAAAAGUUCCAAGUGAACAUUACUAGAUUAUUAUUGGUACUUGUAACUUAUUUGUUACUAUGUGACAUGUUUAUGACUUUGAAUUUCAAUGUGAACAAUGACUAAUUUUAUUUUAAUAUGAAUAUUCUAUUAGGAAAAAGUUCCAAAAGAACAUUAUUAGUUCAUUAUUGACUACUUAAUACUUGUUUGUUACUAUAAGAUAUGUUCCUGACUUCAAAUCGCUAUAUCAAUGAUGGCUAGCUUCUUUUUUCAAUGUUAUUGAAAUCAUCAUUGGAUACCUAGUAUGUAUUUAUUUGUAUAGAACAGUAUAUUAGUUUAUAUUAAUGUGGAUGAUGCUUUCUAUUUCAGAAAUUUAUUCAUUAA